Molecule: ribosomal RNA, 301 nt
Filed under: uncultured bacterium
Lineage: Bacteria
Description: partial 16S ribosomal RNA
Rfam family: Bacterial small subunit ribosomal RNA
Source: RNAcentral
CAGUAGCCGCGGGAACACGUAGGUGGCAAGCGUUGUCCGGAAUUAUUGGGCGUAAAGCGCGCGCAGGCGGAUAGGUCAGUCUGUCUUAAAAGUUCGGGGCUUAACCCCGUGAUGAGAUGGAAACUGCCAAUCUAGAGUAUCGGAGAGGAAAGUGGAAUUCCUAGUGUAGCGGUGAAAUGCGUAGAUAUUAGGAAGAACACCAGUGGCGAAGGCGACUUCCUGGACGAAAACUGACGCUGAGGCGCGAAAGCCAGGGGAGCGAACGGGAUUAGAUACCCGCGUAGUCCCUGUCUCUUAUACA